GCUCUCGCAUGGUUUAGUCAACAUUCAACGUCCGCUGUGGCCCUUCGAAACAGUCUCCUAGCAAGCCAAGCUGUGGUAUAUCCCUAAAGUCUCAUCCCUUAUAGUCCUUUAGUGGUAAUCCAUUUGGCUCGUUACAGUCUCAUCUCGUCAGUCAGUCGACUUGUGGUAUAGAAUUCGCUUGUGUUAGUCUAUUAGAGUGUCCAAUCCCUCCAUCCAGUAUCGUCUCAGUCGUUGAUCUCCCUGCAUGCCAGUCUAGCUCGCACACAAAGACAAGCGUUGAGUCUAAUCGAACCUUGCCUGCCUCCGUGCUCUUUAGGUAAGUAGGCUAGAGUUUUCUAAUCCGCCUUCUUAUCGUCAGUAAGAGUGUU
Molecule: long non-coding RNA, 368 nt
Filed under: Amborella trichopoda
Lineage: Eukaryota; Viridiplantae; Streptophyta; Magnoliopsida; Amborellales; Amborellaceae
Description: long non-coding RNA (ATRI_LNC003997)
Source: RNAcentral